ACUUUUGGACUUUAAUGUAGCUGGGAG
This 27-nucleotide non-coding RNA is filed under the name Cricetulus griseus (Chinese hamster). The record is from RNAcentral. Lineage: Eukaryota; Metazoa; Chordata; Mammalia; Rodentia; Cricetidae.